AAGCAGGCAGGGCAGGGGGAAGCAGCUCUUCCUUUGUUUUGGAGACUCCCUCCAGGGCCCCGGAGAGUCAGGGCCAGGACAAGGCUAACGGUGGCCCCAAGGCUUACAGCAGACCUACACCAUGAAGACCUGAGUCACUGUUUUCCAGGGUGCCGCCUUGGACACUCAGCACCCUUCCUGGAUGGUUCAGAGACAGUCUCUCCCUCUUCCUCUCUAACAGUCCUUCCUGGCUCCUGGAUGUGAAACAAGAACUAUUUCACUUUCUUCUUAAUAAAUCUGCAUCAGUGAUGAUCAGAGUGUCAGAGACAAUAGGGAGAGGUGGGGACAGUGGCAAAUCAGACACUGCAAACCUUGUAUGAAGAGGGAAGCUGCUGCUUAGCCUGUUCCAUUUUUCCAGGGAGGGGCAGUAUUGGCAGACCUGAUUUCCAAAUAAUAAGCCAGAAUUCCAUAUUCUUUUUAAUGAGAAUGUUCUACAUUUAAGAAAGCUGUUGGUGUUUAAAGCAAUAAGCUAGAUAGAGUCACUGCUCUACCAGUUUGCAACCUAUAACACCAACAAAUGCCCAACCCUCCAAGGACAGAUGGCAUCCCACCUCCCAACAUGGAAGCUCUCCUGCUCCAAGCCCAGCCAGCCCGGCCCUGCACACAACAUACUCUCCCAGCUGCUCUGCAGGCUGCAGGGAGUUCAUGUGCCACUUCCAGGCUGACGUGACGGAAAUUGCAAGUCCAGGGUCUGCUGGGGAAACACUGGGGGCAAGUGGGGGUUGGGCCGGUGGGAGAGGGCAGCUGAGCCCUUGGAGGAGCUUCCAAAUGCUAAUUUCUCAGGAACAGGGGAAGAAGGAAGAUGGCAUAGCAACAGCUGGCUCUGGGCAGUGAGCAAUCCUGUAUGAAAAUAAACCUUUUACAAUCCACAACCGUGGCUCAUUAAGAAUGAACGGAUCUAUUGGUAUAAAUAGCAUGCUGCGUUAAGAAGUCAGGAAAUAGCAUAUGCGUUUGAUGGAAAAACGGCUGCCAUGGAACUGCUUAUUAGCUCAGUUGGCUGCAGUUCUGUGCUAAUGAGACAGAUCUAGGUUCAAACCUUUCAUGGGCCAUGUCGCUUUUGUGAUCUUGGGCCAUAGAAUGGAUCCUCGUCCCCUCAGCCCUGGUCACAACACUGGGGCAUAACUCCAGAUACACAGGAAGAAGCCCAUAGUGAGUUUCUCCCAGUGUCUGAACCAUAAUGCCCCUACUAUACUAUCCAGCCUCUGCUUGAAUGCUUCCAGUGACAGCAAGCUCACUACCUAGUCAGAUACAAAACACCCAAUUCUGUGGUUCAGUGGUUACUGAACAAGAAACCCAAACUGCCUCCAGCUGUGUCCCAGGUCUGCUUUUGGGGAAAGCAACCCUAGCUGGUCAUACCAUCUAUCAUGUCUGAUGGGAUACAGGCUAGAUGCAAAUAGGGCAGCCUGAGCAGAAAUGAGUUGGGCCAAUCAUUUCCUCCCUGAGUGUGGACUUGGACAUGGGGUCCUGAGAAGAAGGCCAGAUGCUGAGACUGAAGGGCUUGCAGACGUGAGGUGAGUGCCAGGUGCUGAGCAGGCAGAGGUGGAGGACGGAGCUCAUCCGGG
Molecule: non-coding RNA, 1601 nt
Organism: Manis javanica (Malayan pangolin)
Lineage: Eukaryota; Metazoa; Chordata; Mammalia; Pholidota; Manidae
Source: RefSeq, a predicted model, not a curated record